Long non-coding RNA from Carassius auratus (goldfish), 244 nucleotides. RefSeq lists it as uncharacterized. The record is from RefSeq and is a predicted model, not a curated record. The transcript has 3 exons. NCBI's taxonomy places the organism in Eukaryota, Metazoa, Chordata, Actinopteri, Cypriniformes, Cyprinidae.
GAUUCGAGGUAAAUAUAGCAGCAGGGUAGAAAAGUCAGCAGAGGAAGAGGAGGAGCAGGUGAUCAGUGAGGACCAGGGAGAAGACAACAGACAGGCAGCUCUUUCAGAUAAACAGUCUUUUUAGGAGCAUCAGGGUUCUGCCAUUCAGCAGUAGAAUCACUGAAGUUCAGCUGAGCGGCUGCUGCUUCAUCUGUGGUCUGAUGAAGCAGCAGAUCAGCCUCCUCUACGACGGGAGAUACUUCAG